UACAGAGGCCUCGAGCGUUAGCCGGAAUCACUGGGCUUAAAGCGUGUGUAGGCGGCCUUCUAAGUCCCUUGUGAAAUCCCACGGCUUACCCGUGGAACGGCUGGGUAUACUGGGAGUCUUGAGCCACCUAGGGGCGAGUGGAACAAAUGGUGGAGCGGUGAAAUGCGUAGAUAUCAUGUGGAACGCCAAUGGUGAAAACAACUCGCUGGGGGUGUGCUGACGCUGAGACACGAAAGCCAGGGGAGCGAACGGG
Molecule: ribosomal RNA, 253 nt
Filed under: uncultured bacterium
Lineage: Bacteria
Description: partial 16S ribosomal RNA
Rfam family: Bacterial small subunit ribosomal RNA
Source: RNAcentral